This is a ribosomal RNA of Oryza sativa Japonica Group (Japanese rice), 119 nucleotides long. The record is from Rfam. NCBI's taxonomy places the organism in Eukaryota, Viridiplantae, Streptophyta, Magnoliopsida, Poales, Poaceae.
GGAUGCGAUCAUACCAGCACUAAAGCACCGGAUCCCAUCAGAACUCCGAAGUUAAGCGUGCUUGGGCGAGAGUAGUACUAGGAUGGGUGACCUCCUGGGAAGUCCUCGUGUUACAUCCC